AUUACCAGAAUGCAGCGGCGAGAU
Molecule: non-coding RNA, 24 nt
Filed under: Arabidopsis thaliana (thale cress)
Lineage: Eukaryota; Viridiplantae; Streptophyta; Magnoliopsida; Brassicales; Brassicaceae
Source: RNAcentral